UACAGGGGGGGCAAGCGUUGUUCGGAAUUACUGGGCGUAAAGGGCUCGUAGGCGGCCAACUAAGUCACACGUGAAAUCCCCAGGCUUAACCUGGGAACUGCGUGUGAUACUGGAUGGCUUGAAUUCGGGAGAGGGAUGCAGAAUUCCAGGUGUAGCGGUGAAAUGCGUAGAUAUCGGGAGGAACACCAGUGGCGAAGGCGACUACCUGGCCCAUUCUUGACGCUGAGGCGCGAAAGCUAGGGGAGCGAACGGG
RNAcentral lists this ribosomal RNA (253 nucleotides) under uncultured bacterium. Its description in RNAcentral is "partial 16S ribosomal RNA". It matches the Rfam family "Bacterial small subunit ribosomal RNA", at positions 524 to 776 of the family's 1533-position model. The record is from RNAcentral.